UCGGCCCCCUGGUCAAGGUGACGGGCAGCGCGGGUCACCCGCUUACCGAGAAGGCGCCCGAGUGGCCUGGUGAUGGAUGGUCAGGUCGGGCCCUCCGACGUCACGGGCCUCGUAGUGCUUGGGCCAUUCGAGCAGGAGGAUGGAUUCUCCGGGCUUACGCUGCAGUUUUUAAGAGAAGAUGGUGUCAAGGAGAGGACACUGCUGAGAUUCAGGUGAAGGUGUCAAGACUUUCCAUGCGCCGUCUUCUGUGAGGUGUUGGCGAUGAGAUGUGUCUCACAGCAUGGUUGAGAGGAUUAGGACAACAUCUCUCAAGCUCUAGAGUUGUAAAUGGCAACUGUAGUCUCCCAUGAGAUGGCUCUGGAAUGUCAUUCACUAGCAUCGUAUGCCAAAAA
Long non-coding RNA from Talpa occidentalis (Iberian mole), 392 nucleotides. RefSeq lists it as uncharacterized. The transcript has 4 exons. NCBI's taxonomy places the organism in Eukaryota, Metazoa, Chordata, Mammalia, Eulipotyphla, Talpidae. The record is from RefSeq and is a predicted model, not a curated record.